GCCUGAAGGAAUGUAUAUGGAGAAGCAUCAAUAGGUUGCAAUUGAUGAUACAUUGUUGUAAGAGGCAGAGGAUGUCUUGAAGCAUCCAUAUUCACAAUAACAUAAUCUGAUUGAGGCCAUCGACCACCUUCAACAAGAACAAAAGGAACCGUUCGCAAUGAGAUUGAUUCUUGUUCUCUCCAAGAUCUGCCAAAGAUAGCUCGUAGAUCAGAAGUCCAUCCAAAGAAGCCCUUCCAUUCAUUGUAUAUACAAGUUUGAAUUCUCUGUACAAUAACAGCCUUAUCACCAGAUUCAUGCGCGACCAACACAUUAGACCUCCAGUUGCCAUCGAUGGCAGAUUUGGCCUCUACCUGUCCGCGUACAAUCACGAGCUUCUGAUUUUGGUCUUGGUCAAGAUUCUGGUUUUGGUUUUCAUCGGACGGCUGGGGAAGGUCAAGGAUGGAGCGGAGAUCGGAGACUCUAAGGGUAGGAGCCUUGCGAAUUUUACGAAGGGCUUUGGAAUUAGAUGUAAACUUCAGGAAGGAACGGACGGCGGCAUACGCAAGUGCUACGCCGAGAAUCGCUCCGUCGAAGGAUAGGGCAAGUUGGGAGACUAAAGAGGCCAGGGCUUGCUCGUGUGAAGACAUUUUCUUUUUUGGAAUUUUAUUUUACUUAUAUCACAUUUAGUGGUGGCGCACGUCAGGGGCACGGUGGCCGUCAAGGUGAUAG
This 708-nucleotide unclassified non-coding RNA is filed under the name Hevea brasiliensis (rubber tree). The record is from RNAcentral. Lineage: Eukaryota; Viridiplantae; Streptophyta; Magnoliopsida; Malpighiales; Euphorbiaceae.